Molecule: long non-coding RNA, 8365 nt
Filed under: Vigna radiata
Lineage: Eukaryota; Viridiplantae; Streptophyta; Magnoliopsida; Fabales; Fabaceae
Description: long non-coding RNA (VRAD_LNC003227)
Source: RNAcentral
AAAAGAGUCUCAUCAUCGUAAUUUAACAAAGAGUUCCGAAACAAAAGCAAACAUCAUAUUGUCUAGUUUUAAAACAACGAACAAUAACCUAAAGGGCAAACCAGACCCUUUAUUCAAAAUAAAAGACGAAAAGCAACAGAAGUAACAAACUCCACACACAUUCUUAUUCUUCAUCCGUUUCUGAUUCUGCAUUCUGAAGCCAUUCAAUGAACGGCUGAACAUUCUUCCAUAUCUGAGAGUUCUUAUUAUCGCCCGUCAGUCCCUUUUGAUACCACUGUACUAUGUGCUCUUCCUCCAACACAUCAGCGUCGUAGAGUGCCUUCAGAACCAGGGCAACUUCCUUCAACGCAUUGGAAGUAGACUUACAUGAAAAUUCCUCAAUUGCACACAACAGUAACAACUGCAAACCUUCUUCCUCGGCAACUGCAGCAGCAAGGUAGUUCUUCUUCUUAGUUGCUUCUUUUGCAAACCCUUUCUCGAUGCCCUCAAACAGGGCUUCAUACAGAGCACUCAUCUUCUCCUGAGCAGAUGCUGGAAGCGCUGCUAGAUGGGACACCAACUCUUUUGCCUUGACACCUUUACUCAAAUUUGCUUUCACUUCUGCAACCAGUGUCCUAUAGGUCAAAAAGUUACCAUUCUCAGAAUUACCAUUUACCUUAGUUCUGGCUUUCUCCUCCUUCUCUGGUUCAUCUGUGGAGAGCAUGACCAUAUCAGCUGUCACAGCACUCAGCUGUUCCUGGAUUCGUUGACGAGCAGCCUCCAGUGAUGUAUCGGUUUGCCACUCUAUGUCGUCAUCCACAUCUUCCUUGUCAUGAGCCUCAAUAUUCUCAUCAAUUUGACUGCGGGGAGGCGAUGGCCGGUCUUCAUCGGAGCCAUUUGCCUUUUUCCUUGAAGAGGUAGAUUUCGGAGCACCAUCCUUAGAAGAGGAAGUUCCUUUCUUCUUAGUAACCUCUUUCUUCAGUUUUUUCUGUUCCUCAUCAGCCAUUUCACCUUCCUUCAGUCUCUCUUUCUCAGCUCUCCUCAUAGCCUUCUUGUCUUUGGAUCCUUUCUUAACUUCUGGAGGGUUUUUAAUGAUGAAAGUAGUUAGCUUGUCUCUCAUAUCAACGUCAGACACAAACCCACAAGCAGCACAUUUCAGCUGGAUCAUUUGGUUCUUAGUAAUUAAGAUAUCAGUUUCAGGAUUUCCACAACCAUAACACUGAACAUAUUUCUUGAUGAAGAUUUCAAGAAGGCCAGCAAGUUUUGCAGUAUCAUGUGCGCCAUUAACAUGGGAUGUUCCAGUUUUCUCAUCAAACUUUGAUUGGGCUCCAAGCUCACAUCCGAAAUACUUUGUUGUGUAGGAAGCUGGCCUUGCCAAGGCUUUCGCAAUAUCAACCAUAUUGACAACAUUUGUUUUGAUGCCAUUACCUCUGCCCUCAAUUUUGGUGAUCAUUCUUGGCAUCUUGUACCUGUAGAAGGCAUCGUCACUGUUACUAGCACCAAUGUUUUGUAAGGCCAUGAUGACACAAAUCCUGAAAGUCUCAAAGAAACACGCUAGACACCACAGGUGGCUGAUACUGAAAUUCAAAGUUAGCGCAGAAGCAAUAAUGAUGUUGAUCAGUAGAUUAUUAUCACAAAGAUCCUCCUUGAGAAAUCGUGGGACAGCAACUACAAAGCUCAGAGUGUUCCUGGUAAGGUGCACGAUGCAUCCAGCCGAGCCUCCUCGGCACCAGCCUGUUCUUUUUUCUAGAAGACGAAAAACACUCUCCAAGCAACUCAAUUGCUCCCAAAUGGAUAAUAGCCCGUUCAAACAUGAAAGAAACUUCAACGUGACACCUUCACCUUGAAAUCUGUUGCAGCAGAACUUGCAGGAUUCCUACGUCAAAACCAGAAGUUACAUUAUUUCAAUUACAAUUCUAAAACACUUGCUUCAAGCACUAUGUAAAGGGGACUAUGUUACAGAGGUAAAAGGUACAUAACUUGGACAAUAUAUUGCAAAAUCAAAUAACCACAUAGCCACAAGGAAGAGGUAUUACUUACAAUUGGAAGAUGAUAAAGAAAAAUAAAAGCCACCACACGUAUAAAAAAUAGUAGUAAUCAUGCUGCAGAUUUCACAUUACUGAAGUCAAUCUCCUAAAAGCACCUUACAGAAUGACUUAUCUAAUGGACAAGAACUCCAUCUAAUACCAAGUAGAUCGGUGAAACAACAACCACAAUCAAGCCCAAUCCAAUACAGAAGAAUAUGAAAUAUCAAAUAAUGGAAUCUGUUUGGCUCAAUUCGAAAACCAACGCAGACAAAUCCAAAUUAAAACAAAUUUCAGCCACCGCCAGCAGGCUUUGGCAUGUAGGUUUCAUCAACAUAUUUUACAGAAAUAAUCACUAUUGUUAUAUCAACACCUUCCUUAAACAAUGGUAUAAUUAUUCCAGAACAGGAUAAUACAUGAUAUUACAAAAAUGAAGCUGAAAAGCCUAAUAUCAAAAUCAAAAUCAUAAUACAAAUUAAUUUUAAUCCUAAUAAUCAAUCAUCACAAUGCAAAUAAUUUUCCAAUCAAUAUUAAAAAAAAAAACAGUUAAUCCAAACAGACAGUAAAAACCCUAACUAUGAAUCAACACUAUAUAAAACAAUUACAAUCUCAACAAUCAAUCAUCAAUAACAACAAAUAAUUUUGACGAUAACACAACAAACGUGGAAAGAUUUACCGCCAAAUGCUGGCGUAUGACAGAACACAGUUACACACGGCGCCAAAUUACCGUCAACAAAAUCAUCAGAUCUUAAUCUAAUCAGAAUCUUACCGCAAAAAAAAAAAAAAACGGCAGCACCAUCAAGAACAACAACAAAUCGUCAACAAAUAAAUACAUUAAAUCGAUAACAGAAAUAGCUAAAACAAGAGUUAUUUCGGAUCUAAGUUUUUCCAGGUGAAACUCGGAAUGAGAAUAAACGAUUACAUAAAAAAUAAUAAUAAUCAUGUAAAAGGAACGGCGGAUAAGUUAAAAGAGAAAAAUAAAGAAUCGAAAAUACGACGAAUGGAGAUGACGAUACCUGCAGAAGUUGUUGAAGGGAACGCAAGGCUUGAAGAAUCGGAGCGAAGAGAAAGAGAAGAAAGUGAUUAGAAGGUGCGGCUCUUUCUUCAGAGUUUGUGAAGGAGACGAGGCUGGGCAAAACCAAUACCCUUACGUCUAUAUAUAUAUAUCAACCAAUGAAAGCCCUCAUUAUGUGUAAACUCCAAACUACUCUUCUAUUUUAUUUAAUUAAUAUUUUAAUGAGGUCUAGAGCAUUCUUUUCUUUCUUCGCUAUUUUUCUUUCUUUCCUUUUAUUUAUUUUUUAUAUAUUUUCAGCUUUGAGUCUGUGAAUUAUGAUAUAUUUUUUCUAAUUUUAAUGUCCAUGUAUUAUGAAUGAAAAAUAUUCACGAGCAAUUAAUAAUAAAUCACCAUAUAAAACUGAUUAUAAUUCAUUUCAAGAAAUAUUUUUUUGGAAGAAUGGUGAAAGUAGACGAAUUAGAAUCUGUGAGAAUUUAUAAAAAAAUAAAAUAAAAUGAUCAUACGCAUAAGAAAAAUAACAAUCAAAUAUUAAAUGUAGAAUAAUAAAAUAGAUUUCUUUUUAGAAGAAAAAUAUGUGUUAUAUGGCUUAAAAGGCCUACUUUGUAGGUGUGCGGACCAGACUCUUAAAACCCACAAGGUAAAACAAUGGCACUCGUAUAGAACCACAUUUAUUAUAUGGGUUAACUCUUUUUAAGCUUAACAUUGCCUUAAUAAGAUACAAUUAAAUAUUAAAUAUUUUUAAUUAAAAUCGUAUUGAUUUUUUCUCAAUAAUCGGUUACUUUUUUUUGUAAAUUUUUAGCUGUUUAUAUAUCAUGUCAAUUCGUUGUUUAUAGAUAAUGAGAUUCAAUUAACACAACAAUACAUAUCUACUUAGUUUUUUUCUUACGGAUAUUUAGAAUUUCAUCUCAGUUUAAAUCAUAUUAUAUAUUGAUUAGACAUCAUAAAUUGUUGAAAAGAAAACAAAAGAAAUAUUACAUAUAUUAUUUUAACUAAAUAAAUAUAUACUUAUCAAAAUUAAUUUUACAAAAAUCUAUCAUAAUUACAAUAUUUUUUAUGAUAACUUUUCUAUUACUAUAGUUACAAUAUAUUUAAAUUAUCUUACUUAUCAUAAUCACUUUUCAAAUUCUUUAAUCUCAACUAAUUUACAAACAUUAUAUUAAAUAUAUUUUUUAAAUUUAUUUUCACAUGAGUUUAUAAAAAGUUAUAAAUUUUUUAUAUACAAAUUUGUAAAAUUAGAAAAAAAUGUUGUUAAAAACUCAUUCCUCGCAAAAGAAAAUUCCAACAAGAAAAAACCUUCGAAAUUAUAAAAAGGAAUUAUGAGAAUUGAGUCUUUAACAAAAAGAAAGUGUACUUGAGUAGUAGUAAAAGGUAUAAUUUGGAUAAAAAAAAUUCUCAUGUUCUACUCAUGUCUAUAAAAUUUAAAAGUGGUCUAUUACAGAAAAAAAAAAGUUUAUUAUAGCAACCGACAAAAAUGGAUGAAUGAUAUAGUAUUAAAAUAAUUUAUUAUGGAGUGUUAUUUUAUAGACUUUUUUGGAUAUACAGAGAAUAUAUUAAUUGUUGAUAUCUUAUUAAAUGAUAAUUGAAAUAUAUAUAUAUAUAUAUAUAUAUAUAUAUAUAUAUAAAUCUUUUAAAUAAUUGCAUUAUCUCCCAAUAUUUCAUGUAACAUUAUAAUAGUGGAUUUGUUAUUAUUUUUUUUAUUGGACUGAAUUAAGUUAGGUAUGUACAUUAAAUAUAAGCUAAAAUUAAUGUUUAGAUCAAAAAUAAAAAUUUAGAAAAGAAAAUCUAUAAAUUAGUUUAUGUAUAAAUAAAAUUUAAAUAUUUUUAUUAUAAAAUGUCUAUAGGAAAAAAGUUGGUUUUGUUAACUUUAUCGAGAAUAGAAAGAAGAAAUUAGAAGAAAAUGUGUUGAGUAUAUUUUGAAUUAAAAGUCAACAAACUCCCUUUUAUAGGGGUUGAAAAAUAGGACAAUGACAUAUAAUAUAUAGUAAAAAAAACCCUUUAAUUUAGGUAAAAAAUAAAAAAUAAAACAUUAUAAAGUAGAGUUGAGAUUUUUAGUUUUGGUUUAAUAAUAUCCAGUAGUUUGUUUAAAGAAUCUAGACCAUAUGACAAAACAACACAUGAAAUAAUAAUCUUAGACUACAAAUUUAGUGUAUAGCUUGCUUAGUCCAAAAUGCUGCAAGUAAUUGUAACUGUGUCUGUUACAAACAUCAUAUAAUGCAAAAACUUAAAGAAAAAAAAUACACAACUCAAAAUAUUAAAAUAUAAUUUAUUCAUUUGUAAUAUUUUUAUAUAUCGUUAUAUGCUCUAAUACUUUUUUUUUCUUUUUAUUUCGUAACCCUUUGUCGAAAAUGUUUUAAAGCAUUGAAGAAAUUCCUGAACAUUUUCCUAUAGUUGUAUUUAAUUUCUUCAUUUAUUUCAAUUUAAACUCAUAUUGUAUACAUUUAAUUGUAUAAAGUUAAAAAUAAAUAAUAUCAAUAUAAAUAAUUAUAAAACAUUACUUACUGAGUUAAAAAAACUCAUAAUAUAUCAUUUAAAAAAAAAUAUUUUAAAAUUUUUUGAACAGAACCAAAUUAGAUAUAAGCUAAAAAAAUUAUUCACGUUCACCACAAAUAUUUAUCAACCACGACAUUAAUUCUGAGAGAGGAAAUAGAAAUUAUAAAUUUACACGAUAUAUAAUAUGAAAAAAGAAAAUAUAAUAUAUAUGAAAUGAAAAGUAUGUAUAUCAUGUUUAUAAAAUAAUAGAUUGCUUAAGUUCAACUAUUUUAAUUUAGUAUUGAAAUGAUGUUUACGUGAGAAGUGCUAGAUUUGAGCCCAUACACAUACCAACCAAGCACAUCCCCGCAUCCUGGUAUACGGAAAUAGAGGAAUGAGUAUGUGAAUCAGAAACACACGCAAUUGGCUCAAAAUAUACCUUACCCAAUUCAUAUCCAUAAUCAUGAAAGCUGCAUCCUCUUUCAAAACCUCACCCACCAAGCCAACGAAACUAAAUGGGGUAAAUAUAAAAAAUAUCAUAAAAUUACAUGCAGGUUUCCUAGAAUAUGCUUACUUGAAUAAUAAUCACAAUAACAGAAGCCAUAGUCGGAAGCAUCUCAAUAAAAACCUCCCCCAACGAUCCCACAAAUCUAAAUUGGGUAAACAACCAAAUAUUUUAAGAUGACAUACAGUUUGACUCAUAUACUCAAUCGAUUAUCAUAAGAGCAAGAGUUGUUGAAGCCUCCCCAAAUCAAAACCUUUCCCAAACAAUCCAUGGAAAACUAAAAGGGGUAAAGAAAAAGGACAUUUCAUAGUAAUUCCCUACAAAGCUAGAGGAUGUUCAUAUCAGGUAUCAACCACAUUUGAACAAGCAGGAUUAGACACAUCGGAACACCAUCUUCUUAUCAAGACACAUUUUAUUAUAAGCAUAAAACAUUAACAUAAAAAGCCAAAAUACUCAAGAACCAAACACUGACGCAUACAUACUAAUAGACCAGACAGGCAUGCACCCUUUGCAACAAGUUUAAAAGAUCAUAGUUCAACACAUGGGGCCAACGAGACCCUUUAUUGGAAAUAAAGGACAUGAAACAAGCAAGCAAACAUAAGUAAAGGAAAAUCCAAGAGUGUUUCUUCCUCCAUGAUAAUGAUCACAUAUUAUUCUUCAUCCGAUUCUGAUUCUGCAUUCUGAAGCCAGUCAAUGAAAGGUUGAGCAUUCUUCCAAAUCUUGGAGUUCUUGUUAUCGCCUUUCAGUCCCUUUUGAUACCACAUAACCACGUGCUCUUCCUCCAACACAUCAGCAUCGUACAGUGUCUUCAGAACCAGGGCAACCUCCUUCAAAGCAUUGGAAUUAGACUUGCAACAGAAUUCCUCAAUGGCAUUAAGCAACAAAAUCUGGGAUCCCUCCUCUGUAACAGCAGCAGUAAAAUAGUUCUUCUUCUUAAGAGUAACUUUACCAAAACCUUUCUCUGUUCCCUCAAAUAGAGCUUCAACCAGAGCAGUCAUCUUUUCUUGAGCAGGUGCAGGAAGUUCUGCAAGACGAGAAAGCAAUUCAGUUGCUCCAAAGCCUUUCUUCAAAUUUGCUUUCACUUCAGCAACCACAGUCCCGUAGUUCAUUGAGUUACCAUUCUGAGAACCACCAUUUUCAUUACUUGCUGCUUUUUUCUUCUUCCCUGGUUCAUCUGUAGAAAGCAUAACCAUAUCGGCUGUCACAGCACUUAACUGUUCUUGGAUACGUUGACGAGCAGCAUCAAGUGACGUAUCUGUCAGCCAUUGCACGCCAUCAUCAUCAUCAUCAUCAUCUUCGUCAUGAGCCUCCUCUUUCUCUUCAAUUUGUCUGUGAGUAGGCGAUGUGCGGUCUUCAUCAGAGCCACUUCCUUUCUUCUUUGAAAUUGUGGAUUUUGCGGUGCCAUCCUUUGUAGACGAAGAACCUUUCUUCUUAACCUCUUUCUUCCCUUUCUUUUGUUCCUCAUCAGCUGCUUCACCUUCCUUGAGUCUCUCCUUCUCAGCUCUCCGCAUGGCCUUCUUGUCUUUGGAACCUUUCUUUACUUCUGGAGGAUUCUUAACGAUGAAGGUAGUCAGCUUGUCCCUCAUAUCAACAUCGGACACAAAACCACAAGCAGCACAUUUUAGCUGGAUCAUCUGGUUCUUAGUAAUUAUGAUAUCGGUUUCAGGAUUUCCACAACCAUAACACUGGACAUACUUCUUGAUGAAAUUUUCAAGAAGGCCAGCAAGCUUUGCAGUAUCAUGAGCUCCAUUGACGUGGGAAGUCCCAGUCUUCUCAUCAAACUUAGACUGGGCCCCAAGCUCACAACCAAAAUACUUAGUCGUGUAAGAAGCCGGCCUUGCCAAUGCCUUUGCAAUAUCAACCAUAUUGACGACAUUAGUUUUGAUGCCAUUACCUCUGCCCUCAAUUUUGGUAAUCAUCUUAGGCAUCUUGUACCUAUAGAAGGCAUCAUCGCUGUUUGCAGCACCAAUGUUCUGUAAAGCCAUGUUGACUUACAAAGUCUCAAAGAUAUUCAGUGGCAGCAAACCCAAGAAUUCAAGUUACACGCAGCAGCAAUUUCGGUCUCUAAAGUAGCUUGUAGCCUGGAAGAAUCUCCUUCAGGGAUAAUGGAAGGUGGCCAACCGCUACCACAAAACUGAGUGAAUUUCUGGUAUGUCUCGCGAUGCAUACAGAUAACUCUCUGCGGUGAUGAGGGUCUAUAAUUUUUUCUAGAAGAAGAAAAAUACUCUCCAAGCAGCUCAGUUGCUCCCAAAAGGAUAGUAGCCUGUUCAAACAUGAAAGAAACUUUAACGUGACGCCUUCACCUUGGAAUCUGCCACCGCAGAACUUGCACGUAUACCAAGCCAACAAAAUGAAGCUUCAACAACACCUACA